AGCUUUGCGCAGUGGCAGUAUCAUAGCCAAUGAGGUUUAUCUGAGGCACGAUUAUUAUUGCUAACAAAGUAUUUGUUCACU
Molecule: small nuclear RNA, 81 nt
Organism: Ochotona princeps (American pika)
Lineage: Eukaryota; Metazoa; Chordata; Mammalia; Lagomorpha; Ochotonidae
Gene: U4
Rfam family: U4 spliceosomal RNA
About the family: U4 small nuclear RNA (U4 snRNA) is a component of the major U2-dependent spliceosome. The structure of U4 snRNA from yeast and human has been reported. U4 snRNA presents a k-turn RNA motif in the 5p-SL related to recognition of Snu13 protein.
Source: Ensembl